GCCGUUCACUCUUUCCCCCUCGCGAACCCGAGCCCUAACCGCCGCCUCCCCCUCGCGAUUAAAGCCUUACCGACCCUUCCUCUUUUCCUUCUUCGUCAUUGAGCGAUUCUCCGGCAGCCACAUCUUCUUCCUUCUUUCUCCCUGAAGCCUGCCCAAGCGCCGGUGAGCGCUAGCCACUGCUGGUCAAGCCGUCGGCUGUGCCCUAGUGUCCUUGUUGACGGCGCCGACGCCCAUAGAAGUUCCUCUCUUCUGCCGACAGCCGCCCUCACGGAGUGAUCCCGACUCCGCCGUCUUGCGCCGAGCAGCAGUGUCGCUGGCUACUCCUCCGAGGAGUGCCCUAGGUGCCGACGCCGCACCUCUCUUCCUCUUCUCCUUUCGGCAUCUGAGCCUUAGCAGCGGUCGACUCUCUGUGCCAACACCCGAGCCCCAGUGCCGUCGCUGUGCCCUAGCGAGCCCGACGCCACUCCUUGUCACUGCCGCUGCACACUUUGCCCCAGUGCCGAACCGACCCUUUCUUCUACCCUAGCCGAGCCUCACAUUGGCGUGAGUUGCUGCCCUGGAUUCUACCGAGCUUUGGCUUUAGGGUCAGUGGCUCACUCUAGCUAUGACCACGGUUCCAGAAACAGGUGUUCCAUCGACAAAUUAACGACGAAGAAUACGAAUUUGGGUGAGUUUGGAUUGAGGACUUUGACGCGAGACGAGUAUCUUAACGUCGGACUUGGACGAUUGGAUUUUUCCUAUUGGAGGCGGGUACUUUUGACUUUUUGUCCUUGAUAUGCUUAGUAAUGAAAAUAACAUGUUGCAUUAAUUGUGUUUCUUAUCUGUUUCGGUUAAUCACUACCCAAAUCUUGG
Zingiber officinale is the source of this 852-nucleotide long non-coding RNA. RefSeq lists it as uncharacterized. The record is from RefSeq and is a predicted model, not a curated record. The transcript has 3 exons. Lineage: Eukaryota; Viridiplantae; Streptophyta; Magnoliopsida; Zingiberales; Zingiberaceae.